RNAcentral lists this ribosomal RNA (301 nucleotides) under uncultured bacterium. RNAcentral describes it as "partial 16S ribosomal RNA". It matches the Rfam family "Bacterial small subunit ribosomal RNA", at positions 509 to 807 of the family's 1533-position model. The record is from RNAcentral.
CAGUCGCCGCGGUAAUACGAAGGGGGCUAGCGUUGCUCGGAAUGACUGGGCGUAAAGGGCGCGUAGGCGGCGGCCAAAGUCAGGCGUGAAAUUCCUGGGCUCAACCUGGGGGCUGCGCUUGAUACUUGGUUGCUUGAGUGGGGAAGAGGGUCGUGGAAUUCCCAGUGUAGAGGUGAAAUUCGUAGAUAUUGGGAAGAACACCGGUGGCGAAGGCGGCGACCUGGUCCUUGACUGACGCUGAGGCGCGAAAGCGUGGGGAGCAAAUAGGAUUAGAUACCCCGGUAGUCCCUGUCUCUUAUAC